AACAACUUUUGUUUCCAACAAUGGACAACACCACCACCAAUCACCAGCCUCAGCCCACGGCAUACCCAACGCAAUCCAUCACGACCACUCCACCACUACCUUCAGCAGGUGGAGCACCAUCCUCAACCCCAUUCCACCACCUCCUCCAACAACAACAGCAACAACUUCAAAUGUUUUGGUCUUACCAACGUCAAGAAAUUGAACAAGUUAAUGAUUUCAAGAACCAUCAACUCCCUUUAG
This 240-nucleotide long non-coding RNA is filed under the name Populus tremula. Its description in RNAcentral is "long non-coding RNA (PTRE_LNC001054)". Lineage: Eukaryota; Viridiplantae; Streptophyta; Magnoliopsida; Malpighiales; Salicaceae. The record is from RNAcentral.